GGAUUAUGGCUCAGUGGUAGAGCAUUCGUCGAGCACCUGCAAGGCCCAGGGUUCGAUCCUCAGCACCA
This 68-nucleotide transfer RNA is filed under the name Marmota monax (woodchuck). Its description in RNAcentral is "tRNA.Ala". Lineage: Eukaryota; Metazoa; Chordata; Mammalia; Rodentia; Sciuridae. The record is from RNAcentral.